GGCUUUUCUCCCUCGGGCCCAGUAACUAUCUUCACUCCGGCUGUCUGGGCAGGCACGUCCACCUACAAGAGAACGACAGGUUUUCCUUUAAAUUCUUUCAAAUUCUCUUCAAGCUUGUACAUCUGGAAUUUUUCUAAACAGUCUCAUUCAGGAGAAACCCCAAACCAGAAAUGUCUUCUUCAAUCAUCAAAACAUAGUAAGCA
Herpailurus yagouaroundi (jaguarundi) is the source of this 203-nucleotide long non-coding RNA. RefSeq lists it as uncharacterized. The record is from RefSeq and is a predicted model, not a curated record. The transcript has 3 exons. Lineage: Eukaryota; Metazoa; Chordata; Mammalia; Carnivora; Felidae.